AAAAGAUCCGCAAGCUCAUGAAUGGAAGGGGAGGAGUCAUCAUCACUUACAUCGCUAUUUUUCAUACCUUUCGCCAUUAGAAAAAUGUGCGAUGAGCUUGAUGAUGGCAAGAAGGUAUUUGGCUUGCGGUGGGUUUCUUCCUCACUUGAACUUUUCAUAUCAAACUCACCUUUGCAAUGCUUGUGAAGGCCUCCUUCUUGCUUGCCUUCUUCGCCUUCCUCCUCUCCUUUCUCUCUUUCUUCCUUUGCUUGCAUCUCUUCUCCAUCAACGGGCACUACUCAAUAUAGUGUCCCUCCUCACCACAACCAAGACAUUCCUUCUUAUUUUUUCUUAGGUUAUGGUGAACCAACUAUUCCGUAGGGAUACCUUUGGAGUUGAGCUUCUUGAGUAGCUUGUUCACUCCUUUUACAAGUUGCUUGAUUUCUUCAUCAUCGAAGGAGUUGCUACCACUUGCUUGAUCAUCCUCUUCACCUUCUGCCUCAUCAUCACUUUCUUCUUCUUCUUCUUCACUUGAACUUGAAACCUCACUUGAGCUUGAGCGUGAACUUGAUGCUUGCUCUUGAGGUUUCUUUCUUGAUAUGGAAGGUUCUUGCUUAUCUUCUUCCUUCUCCUUCUCCUUCUCUUCUUUGCUUGAUGUGCUAACUGUUGAUGGCAGUUAGCACGCUAGUUUGUGAACUGCAAGCGCACAGAUCAUCGUAGCUUUUCCCUUAGAGUAUUUUUCCAAGAGGUUUAUCAAUCUGUGGAUCGGUAGCGAACUAACUAAGGUUUUCUAUCUAACUCAACGGAUCUAAUCCUAACACGAAGCAUAGAUUGCAUAAGAAGGGUAAACCUAAUAGAUAUGACUAAUAGAGCAUAAAUUGAUCACAACCACAGAUAUAUAUGAGAUAGCAUACCAAGGGUAACAAGGACCUAUCAUCUUCUAGUUGUAUAUCUAGCUAAUAAUCAAGUAAAUUAUGCAUAUCAUUCAAAGCUAUCUUUAAGCUACUACCUCCGGUCAACCUCCCAAAAACC
RNAcentral lists this long non-coding RNA (1011 nucleotides) under Setaria viridis. RNAcentral describes it as "long non-coding RNA (SVIR_LNC002109)". The record is from RNAcentral. Lineage: Eukaryota; Viridiplantae; Streptophyta; Magnoliopsida; Poales; Poaceae.